UCUAAUUAAAACAUCUAACUUUGCUAACUAUUAUCUUAAAAAAGAAUAGCAAAAUAUUAUUGUUAUAGUUGUUUGGUUGGGCUUCUAAAGAAAGUUUUGGAUGGAAGGUGUUCCUUCAAGAAUCUCGAGUAGGAGUCAUGUUUAUCUUUAUAUUGGUACCAUGAGCCCCAUUAGAUUAUUCACCAUCUUAUUGUUUUGUUCUCUUUAUAUUGGUAUUAUGAGGUAUUAUGAGCCCCAUUGGUCCUAACUCCUUGUCUGUUUAGCAUGAUGAAUAUAUACACGUAAAGAUUUACUAGACAAAAGAAGAGGAGGAGAUUUUCAUUUUGAUUAACAGAACAUUUGACAUUUUCUCUCAAGAUACUUUAGGUGAUGAUUAUGAUAUUGAUCUCGAUGAACUUAUGGACGUACCCAGUCAUUGGACCAUAAAGACCUUCGUAUAAUAUGAGUGUUCAUGUACUGGAUCACCACAUUCAUAGACUACCAAAUGAGCACAUCGAGACAUCACAAAGAUCUUCUGACGAAGACAUGAUUACUGUACUCUUGAUUUUAAUAAGUUUGUCGAGAUACUUGAGGGUACCCAGAUCCUCAAAACAGUAGUGACCAACAUUGGAUCACCAUAUUACUAUAUUAUUGCAUCAGGGAUUUUAGACCACAAAUAUCACAUCAGGCAUUUGGGGCCACAAAUAUCUUCUUAUAAUUAUUGUACUAUUGAUUUCAACAAGUUAUUGGAGAUACUUGAGGCACCCAGAUCCUCAUAACAGUAGUGACCAACAUCCUCAUAACAGUAGUGACCAACAUGUUAUUGGAGAUACUUGAGGCACAGAUCCUCAGAACAGUUGUGACCAACAUUGGAUCACCACAUUACUAUAUUACCACAGGAAUUUACCACAUCGGGGAUUUGGGAUAGAUAGGGUUGAAUCACCACACUACUAUAUUAUCACAUCAGGGAUGAUAUAGGGGUUGAAUCACCA
This 971-nucleotide long non-coding RNA is filed under the name Amborella trichopoda. RNAcentral describes it as "long non-coding RNA (ATRI_LNC001471)". The record is from RNAcentral. Lineage: Eukaryota; Viridiplantae; Streptophyta; Magnoliopsida; Amborellales; Amborellaceae.